GUAGGGAGCAAGCGUUGUCCGGAUUUACUGGGUGUAAAGGGUGCGUAGGCGGCUUUGCAGGUCAGAUGUGAAAUCUAUGGGCUCAACCCAUAAACUGCAUUUGAAACUGUAGAGCUUGAGUGAAGCAGAGGCAGGCGGAAUUCCCCGUGUAGCGGUGAAAUGCGUAGAGAUGGGGAGGAACACCAGUGGCGAAGGCGGCCUGCUGGGCUUUAACUGACGCUGAGGCACNAAAGCGUGGGUAGCAAACAGGAUUAGAUACCCUGGUAGUCCACGCUGUAAACGAUGAUUACUAGGUGUGGGGGGUCUGACCCCUUCCGUGCCGGAGUUAACACAAUAAGUAAUCCACCUGGGGAGU
This 355-nucleotide ribosomal RNA is filed under the name uncultured bacterium. RNAcentral's name for it is "bacterial SSU rRNA". It matches the Rfam family "Bacterial small subunit ribosomal RNA", at positions 527 to 881 of the family's 1533-position model. The record is from RNAcentral.